GACGGGUGAGUAACGCGUGAGGAGCUGUCCUAUGCAGGGGGACAACAGUUGGAAACGGCUGCUAAUACCCCAUAAGCCGAGAGGUAAAAGGAUUAUCCGGCAAAGGAGGCACUCGCGUCCUAUCAGCUAGUAGGUUGGGUAACGGCCGACCUAGGCGAAGACGGGUAGCCGGCCUGAGAGGGCGAACGGCCACACUGGAACUGAGAUACGGUCCAGACUCCUACGGGAGGCAGCAGUGGGGAAUAUUGGGCAAUGGGGGGAACCCUGACCCAGCGACGCCGCGUGGGUGAAGAAAUCCUUCGGGAUGUAAAGCCCUGUUGUAUGGGAAGAGUAGAAGACGGUACCAUACGAGGAAGCCCCGGCAAACUACGUGCCAGCAGCCGCGGUAAUACGUAGGGGCAAGCGUUGUCCGGAAUUACUGGGCGUAAAGCGCACGCAGGCUGACUUAUAAGUCGGUAGUCUAAUGCGGAGGCUCAACUUCCGUUUAUCUAUCGAUACUGUAAGACUAAGUAUGUGAGAGGGAAUUGGAAUUCCCGGUGUACGGUGAAAUGCGUAAUAUCGGGAGGAACACCAUUGGCGAGGCGACUUCCUGCCAUACUGACGCUCAUUGUGCGAAAGCUAGGGUACGAACCGGGAUUAAUACCCCGGUUAUUCCUAUCCGUUUCAAUGGAUACUUGUGUGGGUGUCUCGGUCUUCGUGCCUUCUUUUUCUCUUUUUUUAUCCCCUUCUGUGGUUUCUGUCUUUAAUUGUUUCCUUUGAUUUGUUGGGGCCUCUCUUUUUU
This 781-nucleotide ribosomal RNA is filed under the name uncultured bacterium. RNAcentral describes it as "bacterial SSU rRNA". It matches the Rfam family "Bacterial small subunit ribosomal RNA". The record is from RNAcentral.